GGGGUGUUAGCUCAGUUUGUUAGAGCAGAGGACUCAUAAUCCUUUGGUUGCCGGUUGCAGUCCGGCGCACCCUA
RNAcentral lists this transfer RNA (74 nucleotides) under Micrococcaceae bacterium. Its description in RNAcentral is "tRNA-Ile". It matches the Rfam family "tRNA". From Rfam's summary of the family: Transfer RNA (tRNA) molecules are approximately 80 nucleotides in length. Their secondary structure includes four short double-helical elements and three loops (D, anti-codon, and T loops). Lineage: Bacteria; Bacillati; Actinomycetota; Actinomycetes; Micrococcales; Micrococcaceae. The record is from RNAcentral.